RNAcentral lists this ribosomal RNA (791 nucleotides) under uncultured bacterium. Its description in RNAcentral is "bacterial SSU rRNA". It matches the Rfam family "Bacterial small subunit ribosomal RNA", at positions 8 to 796 of the family's 1533-position model. The record is from RNAcentral.
AGAGUUUGAUCAUGGCUCAGAUUGAANNCUGGCGGCAGGCCUAACACAUGCAAGUCGAGCGGUAGAGAGAAGCUUGCUUCUCUUGAGAGCGGCGGACGGGUGAGUAAUGCCUAGGAAUCUGCCUGGUAGUGGGGGAUAACGCUCGGAAACGGACGCUAAUACCGCAUACGUCCUACGGGAGAAAGCAGGGGACCUUCGGGCCUUGCGCUAUCAGAUGAGCCUAGGUCGGAUUAGCUAGUUGGUGAGGUAAUGGCUCACCAAGGCGACGAUCCGUAACUGGUCUGAGAGGAUGAUCAGUCACACUGGAACUGAGACACGGUCCAGACUCCUACGGGAGGCAGCAGUGGGGAAUAUUGGACAAUGGGCGAAAGCCUGAUCCAGCCAUGCCGCGUGUGUGAAGAAGGUCUUCGGAUUGUAAAGCACUUUAAGUUGGGAGGAAGGGCAGUAAAUUAAUACUUUGCUGUUUUGACGUUACCGACAGAAUAAGCACCGGCUAACUCUGUGCCAGCAGCCGCGGUAAUACAGAGGGUGCAAGCGUUAAUCGGAAUUACUGGGCGUAAAGCGCGCGUAGGUGGUUCGUUAAGUUGGAUGUGAAAUCCCCGGGCUCAACCUGGGAACUGCAUUCAAAACUGACGAGCUAGAGUAUGGUAGAGGGUGGUGGAAUUUCCUGUAGCGGUGAAAUGCGUAGAUAUAGGAAGGAACACCAGUGGCGAAGGCGACCACCUGGACUGAUACUGACACUGAGGUGCGAAAGCGUGGGGAGCAAACAGGAUUAGAUACCCUAGUAGUCC